Molecule: long non-coding RNA, 153 nt
Organism: Sphaeramia orbicularis (orbiculate cardinalfish)
Lineage: Eukaryota; Metazoa; Chordata; Actinopteri; Kurtiformes; Apogonidae
Exons: 3
Source: RefSeq, a predicted model, not a curated record
GGACGAGGAAAUGCAAUCGUCUCCAGAUGAAAGACAACAGCGAAGUAGAUCCUCUGUGAAGGAGGAGGCCUGUCUGAUGGAGCCGUUCAUCCAUCGGUGGUCAUUUACCAUCAGAUCCAGUAGAUCCAGAGAUGUGGGUGUAGAUGACAUCAG